CAGGGUGUAGCUGAGUAAGAUAAAGCAUCUCCCUUACACUGAGAAGCCCCCCGUGCAAAUCGGGUCACCCUGA
Molecule: transfer RNA, 73 nt
Filed under: Desmodema polystictum (polka-dot ribbonfish)
Lineage: Eukaryota; Metazoa; Chordata; Actinopteri; Lampriformes; Trachipteridae
Description: tRNA-Val
Rfam family: tRNA
About the family: Transfer RNA (tRNA) molecules are approximately 80 nucleotides in length. Their secondary structure includes four short double-helical elements and three loops (D, anti-codon, and T loops). Further hydrogen bonds mediate the characteristic L-shaped molecular structure. tRNAs have two regions of fundamental functional importance: the anti-codon, which is responsible for specific mRNA codon recognition, and the 3' end, to which the tRNAs corresponding amino acid is attached (by aminoacyl-tRNA synthetases). tRNAs cope with the degeneracy of the genetic code in two manners: having more than one tRNA (with a specific anti-codon) for a particular amino acid; and 'wobble' base-pairing, i.e. permitting non-standard base-pairing at the 3rd anti-codon position.
Source: RNAcentral